This 1289-nucleotide long non-coding RNA is filed under the name Rattus norvegicus (Norway rat). RNAcentral describes it as "long non-coding RNA NONRATT018154". Lineage: Eukaryota; Metazoa; Chordata; Mammalia; Rodentia; Muridae. The record is from RNAcentral.
UACUUCCUCUCUCUUUCUCUCUCUUUCUAGUUAGAUCAAGAUAACGGUGGCUUGUGUCAUCCCUGAUUCUCUUACAGUAGGGACUGGGCUCAGAAUGUGACUUGAUUAGGCUGAUCUGCACUUGGAAAGCAGGUCUUGUCUGUAUAUGCCUUGCUCUGAACGAAGUUCCCUUAAGGACAAAGGGAAGCGCACUGUGCUUCGUUUGAGCUUCUCUGCCUGGGCUUGGUAUCUGCUCAUUCUAAAACACGCUCCUUCACCAGUCCCUGAGACUCUCGGAAACGAGCUCCUUUUUAAUCACACUCCUAUGAGUAAAGCACCCCAGAAUUUCUCUAUGAGUUCCCAAUGAAACCUGUACAGGUUUUUAAAUUUUAAAUCCAAUUUAAGCCAAGAGGAGGAAGGAACUCAGGGGAAGAAGCCCCUUCAGAAACUCCUCCAGAGAAUAAACCGUGUUUGUCUUUUCCCAUAAAACUGCUAUUUGUUGAUUUUGUUUGGCUGUGGGAGGGGGUGAGAGGAGAUCACCUUUUAUCAUCAGGUGAUUUAUUUCCUCCUGACGGGAUUCAGGUGAAGGAAGCCCAUCUGUUCUGGAGAGCUGUGUAUGCCUUUAACUAGCCUCCGUCCCAUUGCUUGAACAGUCAUUACUGGCUUAGCUACGGUUGCUGCCUCAGUCAUCAUGCUGCAUAUUCCUGCUUUCCCGUAUGUUCAUACUGAGUGUGACACCGGAUCUCUGCUCUCGGGUGCAUGCUUCGUACUCUGCCUCAGCUUAUGCCUUGAUUUUUGUCCAUUUCAAAAUACGCGCAACAAAAAAUGUUCAUUCUGAUUUUAACUCAGUUCAGCAGAGAGGUUGUCAUUGACCUUUCCCCCCUCUUUCCCUCUUUUUUAUCCGUAAAGGUCUUUUUACAUAUGAAUGUAAUCACGUCCAUGACACCAAUGCUGUAAACUCUGCACUGCAGUUUACUCUAAGGAGUGAAAAAGCCCUACUGUGUUUUAAAAGAAUCCCCUCUCUUAGUCCAGUCCUGGAGUGGAUGCACGUGCUGCACGCUCUCUCACUCGCACAGUUUUUAUGUAUUGUGUUGGGUUAUCGUUCUAGACUGGACUGUUAAAUGCUGUCUGUGAGGCUGGACUGUCAUUUUUAUAACUGUCUUCGUAUUUUAUCGCCAUUAUUUAUUACUUUUGAUAUACAGAAUGAGCCGCAUGCAUUUAUAGAGCAAUAAGAAGAUGUAUUUAAUGUGCCUUGUUUUUAACUGAGUAAGAGCUGAAAGCAUGAAUCAAUAAAACUGAUUAAAGUGGUC